AUUGAACGCUGGCGGCAUGCCUUACACAUGCAAGUCGAACGGUAACGGGCCUUCGGGUGCCGACGAGUGGCGCACGGGUGAGUAAUACAUCGGAACGUGCCCGAUCGUGGGGGAUAACGAGGCGAAAGCUUUGCUAAUACCGCAUACGAUCUACGGAUGAAAGCAGGGGACCGCAAGGCCUUGCGCGGACGGAGCGGCCGAUGGCAGAUUAGGUAGUUGGUGGGAUAAAAGCUUACCAAGCCGACGAUCUGUAGCUGGUCUGAGAGGAUGAUCAGCCACACUGGGACUGAGACACGGCCCAGACUCCUACGGGAGGCAGCAGUGGGGAAUUUUGGACAAUGGGCGCAAGCCUGAUCCAGCCAUGCCGCGUGCAGGAUGGAGGCCUUCGGGUUGUAAACUGCUUUUGUACGGAACGAAAAGCCUUCUUUUAAUACAGGAGGGUCAUGACGGUACCGUAAGAAUAAGCACCGGCUAACUACGUG
Molecule: ribosomal RNA, 482 nt
Filed under: uncultured bacterium
Lineage: Bacteria
Description: partial 16S ribosomal RNA
Rfam family: Bacterial small subunit ribosomal RNA
Source: RNAcentral